AACGAACGCUGGCGGCAGGCUUAACACAUGCAAGUCGAACGCCCCGCAAGGGGAGUGGCCGACGGGUGAGUAACGCGUGGGAACAUACCCUUUCCUGCGGAAUAGCUCCGGGAAACUGGAAUUAAUACCGCAUACGCCCUACGGGGGAAAGAUUUAUCGGGGAAGGAUUGGCCCGCGUUGGAUUAGCUAGUUGGUGGGGUAAAGGCCUACCAAGGCGACGAUCCAUAGCUGGUCUGAGAGGAUGAUCAGCCACGUUGGGACUGAGACACGGCCCAAACUCCUACGGGAGGCAGCAGUGGGGAAUAUUGGACAAUGGGCGCAAGCCUGAUCCAGCCAUGCCGCGUGAGUGAUGAAGGCCUUAGGGUUGUAAAGCUCUUUCACCGAUGAAGAUAAUGACGGUAGUCGGAGAAGAAGCCCCGGCUAACUUCGUG
RNAcentral lists this ribosomal RNA (431 nucleotides) under uncultured bacterium. RNAcentral's name for it is "partial 16S ribosomal RNA". It matches the Rfam family "Bacterial small subunit ribosomal RNA", at positions 29 to 507 of the family's 1533-position model. The record is from RNAcentral.